CCUACGGAUGGCAGCAGUAGGGAAUAUUGCUCAAUGGGGGAAACCCUGAAGCAGCAACGCCGCGUGGAGGAUGAAGGUUUUCGGAUUGUAAACUCCUUUUGUUAGAGAAGAUAAUGACGGUAUCUAACGAAUAAGCACCUGCUAAUUCCGUGCCAGCAGCCGCGGUAAUACGGAGGGUGCAAGCGUGACUCGGAAUCACUGGGCGGAAAGAGCGCGUAGGCGGGGUAGCAAGUCAGAUGUGAAAUCCUAUGGCUUAACCAUAGAACUGCAUUUGAAACUGUUAUUCUAGAGUAUGGGAGAGGUAGGUGGAAUGCUUGGGGUAGGGGUAAAAUCCGUAGAGAUCAAGAGGAAUACUCAUUGCGAAGGCGACCUGCUAGAACAUAACUGACGCUGAUGCGCGAAAGCGUGGGGAGCAAACAGGAUUAGAUACCCCAGUAGUC
Molecule: ribosomal RNA, 440 nt
Filed under: uncultured bacterium
Lineage: Bacteria
Description: partial 16S ribosomal RNA
Rfam family: Bacterial small subunit ribosomal RNA
Source: RNAcentral